This 464-nucleotide ribosomal RNA is filed under the name uncultured bacterium. RNAcentral's name for it is "bacterial SSU rRNA". It matches the Rfam family "Bacterial small subunit ribosomal RNA", at positions 37 to 518 of the family's 1533-position model. The record is from RNAcentral.
UGGCGGCACGCUUAACACAUGCAAGUCGAACGGAGAAUUUUGGUUACUGAGAAUUCUUAGUGGCGGACGGGUGAGUAACACGUGAGCAACCUGCCUCUGAGAGAGGGAUAGCUUCUGGAAACGGAUGGUAAUACCUCAUAACAUAACGAAGCCGCAUGACUUUGUUAUCAAAGAUUUAUCACUCAGAGAUGGGCUCGCGUCUGAUUAGAUAGUUGGUGAGGUAACGGCUCACCAAGUCGACGAUCAGUAGCCGGACUGAGAGGUUGAACGGCCACAUUGGGACUGAGACACGGCCCAGACUCCUACGGGAGGCAGCAGUGGGGAAUAUUGCACAAUGGGGGAAACCCUGAUGCAGCGAUGCCGCGUGGAGGAAGAAGGUUUUCGGAUUGUAAACUCCUGUCUUAAAGGACGAUAAUGACGGUACUUUAGGAGGAAGCUCCGGCUAACUACGUGCCAGCAGCUGC